ACGGAAGGCAGCAGUAGGGAAUAUUGCACAAUGGGGGGAACCCUGAUGCAGCAACGCCACGUGUGGGAAGAAGCAUUUCGGUGUGUAAACCACUGUCGUGAGGGAAUAAUGCUUGGCCUCGGCCAAGUUGAAUGUACCUCGAAAGGAAGCACCGGCAAACUUCGUGCCAGCAGCCGCGGUAAUACGAGGGGUGCAAGCGUUGUUCGGAAUCACUGGGCGUAAAGGGAGCGCAGGCGGAGAUGCAAACAGUCUGUACAAUACCGGGGCCCAACCCCGGACCUGCAGACUGGACUGUUUCUCUUGGAUAGUUCAGGGGCAAGCGGAAUUCCUGGUGUAGCGGUGGAAUGCGUAGAGAUCAGGAAGAACACCGAUGGCGAAGGCAGCUUGCUGGGGACUUAUCGACGCUCAUGCUCGAAAGUGCGGGUAACAAACAGGAUUAGAUACCCUGGUA
RNAcentral lists this ribosomal RNA (451 nucleotides) under uncultured Fibrobacter sp. RNAcentral's name for it is "partial 16S ribosomal RNA". It matches the Rfam family "Bacterial small subunit ribosomal RNA", at positions 341 to 792 of the family's 1533-position model. The record is from RNAcentral. Lineage: Bacteria; Pseudomonadati; Fibrobacterota; Fibrobacteria; Fibrobacterales; Fibrobacteraceae.